Molecule: long non-coding RNA, 1319 nt
Filed under: Betta splendens (Siamese fighting fish)
Lineage: Eukaryota; Metazoa; Chordata; Actinopteri; Anabantiformes; Osphronemidae
Description: lncRNA (ENSBSLG00000000696.1)
Source: RNAcentral
GCUCCUGAACUUUUCAUCGCGAAAAACAAAGUGAGGCAGUUGCUCAAAAUAAAUGUUUUGAAAUGGGGGGGGGGGGGGGGGGGGGGUGCGUUCAAGGCAGCCUCGUCACCUGAUCGCUGCUUUUAAGUCCGCUGUAGACAAUAAUAGGCGUUCCAGCAAACUCUGAGUGUUUGCUCAGCUCCGCUGUUCUUGAGACAUCGCUUCCAUGGCUUCAGGGCCUGGAUGUUUCUCCACUCGCAGGCGUUGUCAUUCGAGCCGUACCCGCAAUCUCGGAGCGAUCAACGAGGAACCACGUGAAACGCGGCAGCGAGGUCGAUGAUGUGCGCGUCUCCACAGAUGAUGAAUCACGCUGACGGCUGCACUGCGAGGUGUUGAGACAGGAGCGACACACGCCUUUCUGGCCAACCAACCUCCGGGUUUAUGGUGUAUGCAAGGCUUGGUUAUAAAUUAAACAGGUUGUAUGAAGCAACAAACAUCCUUUUAGCUGCACGCUUAGCAUAAAGUCACGUAUCGUGCUUGACCUGUUGCUAAUCGGGGCACAGAUAACGCUGUUGUGUGCGGCUGUAAUCUGGCUCGUUUAUCAGCCACACCAGACCAGACGCAGGUCAGUGAAAUGUAAAUGUUAUUUACAUUAAGUGCAUGCGAGAGCUGCUUUUAGUCACGACACACCCUCAGCUGGCACAGCCACCAUAAUAUGUAUUAAAUACAAAUUUUGUUUGAAAACUUCAAGCAAAAUUUCAAGUUGACAUAAAUCAAAAGUUUAGUUUAUCUUCGAUGCAGUUACAUUAAAGAUCCAGUCAGAUUCUUCAGUCAUUAAAGGGAUGCAGAAUUACAAAUAUUGUAUAAAACCAUCCAUCUAAAGCUGACAACAUUUUAAGAUACAGUUCAAUUAGUAGACUUGGAAUCGAUCCACUCAAAUAACAGCUCUCCAGAAUGAAGCAGAAAUUAUUAAAAACUCUGUGAUUGGUCAGAAGAGUAAGCGUGGAUGUGACACAGACCUUCACACGAGGCUCAUGUAAUACAUGCAUUUAUUUUAAAGCCAUGACGUCAUUGGCACAUUCUGAAUGUGGUAGAUAUUGAUUUGUUAUUUUUAUUUUAAUAUCUGCAGUAUUGCUACAGUUAGAUAUCAGAAAAAAGCCAAGUUAAAAGUAUUAACACUUUUAUAGAACAUGUUUGAAGCAAUAGUAAAAGAAAGACAAUCUAAAAAAGCAGCUCAACUUGUGUCCUAACAUUAACAUUGCGUCCACACACACACACACACACACACACACACACACACACACACACACACACACACACACACACACACACACACUUAG